This 355-nucleotide unclassified non-coding RNA is filed under the name uncultured fungus. RNAcentral's name for it is "sequence contains ITS1". The stretch from base 1 to 102 matches the Rfam family "5.8S ribosomal RNA", at positions 50 to 154 of the family's 154-position model. The record is from RNAcentral. Lineage: Eukaryota; Fungi.
AAAUCGCGAUAUGUAGUGUGAUCUGCCUAUAGUGAAUCAUCAAAUUUUUGAACGCAUCUUGCACCUCUGGGUAUUCCUGGAGGUACGCCUGUUUCAGUAUCAUUUUAACUUCUUUUCCCUAUAAUGGGGGCAAGAAGAUAUUACCAUUGGCCCUAGAGACCGUUCCCAGCUUUGGCCGGGCGACGACUUCACGGCUUAAAUAUACUGGGUCCCACCAUUAAUUGUUUUUUGGUUCGGCUUGAAUACCCUUUGGUAGAUUUUCUACUAUAAGCUAUAUCAUCCGGGCAGAAAAUGGGGAUCCCCCUAUACUUAACCCUUUGAUCUGAAAUCAGGCGGGAUUACCCGCUGAACUUAA